CCGGGUGUCGUCCAGCUAGGUCCAGGACUCUCGCUUUGGGAGCGAGGAACGUGGGUUCGAAUCCCGCCACCCAGACC
Molecule: transfer RNA, 77 nt
Filed under: Nocardia ninae
Lineage: Bacteria; Bacillati; Actinomycetota; Actinomycetes; Mycobacteriales; Nocardiaceae
Also listed under: 1 other name
Description: tRNA-Pro
Rfam family: tRNA
About the family: Transfer RNA (tRNA) molecules are approximately 80 nucleotides in length. Their secondary structure includes four short double-helical elements and three loops (D, anti-codon, and T loops).
Source: RNAcentral